RNAcentral lists this long non-coding RNA (539 nucleotides) under Homo sapiens (human). Its description in RNAcentral is "novel transcript". The record is from RNAcentral. Lineage: Eukaryota; Metazoa; Chordata; Mammalia; Primates; Hominidae.
GGCGGGGCGCCUGUGGGAGCCGUGGAGGGAACUUUCCCAGUCCCCGAGGCGGAUCCGGUGUUGCAUCCUUGGAGCGAGCUGAGAGCUCGAGUACAGAACCUGCUAAGGCCAUCAAACCUAUUGAUCGGAAGUCAGUCCAUCAGAUUUGCUCUGGGCCGGUGGUACCGAGUCUAAGCACUGCGGUGAAGGAGUUAGUAGAAAACAGUCUGGAUGCUGGUGCCACUAAUAUUGAUGGAGUUUUGCUCUUGUUGCCGAGGCUGCGGUGCAAUGGCACGAUCUCAACUCACUGCAACCUCCGCCUCCCAGGUUCAAGCGAUUCUCCUGCCUCAGCCUCACCAGUAGCUGGGAUUACAGGCAUGCACCACCACACCUGGCUAAUUUUGUAUUUUUAGUAGAGAUAGAGUUUCUCCAUGUUGGUCAGGCUGGUCUCGAACUACUGACCUCAGGUGAUCCGCUCGCUUUGGUCUCCCAAAGUGCUGGGAUUACAGGCAUGAACCACCGCGCCUGGCCCCCGUUCUCCUUACUGGAUCUAAAGCUUA